AACGAACGCUGGCGGCAUGCCUAACACAUGCAAGUCGAACGAAACCUCCGGGCUUGCUGGCUCCCGGGGGCGUGACGGGUGGGGUCCUGCCCUUGGGUUCUGCCUAACUCUCCGAGAUAGGUCCUAAUAACGGAUUAUAUCUCCGGACCGAAGAUUUAUCGCCUGUGGUUGGGCCCGAGUUGUUUUAGGUUGUUGGUAGGGUAAAAGCAGACCAAGGCGACGAGCCAUAGCUGGUUGGAGAGGAGGAUCAGCCAGACUGGGACUGGGACACGGCCCCGACUCGUACGGGAGGCAGCGGUGGGGAAUAGUGGAGAAUGGGCGAGAGCCUGAGACAGCAAUGCCGGGUGAAUGAUGAAGGCGUUAGGGUUGUAAAGCGCUUUUACCCGGGAUGAUAAUGACAGUACCGAGAGAAGAAGCACCGGCUAACUCCGUG
RNAcentral lists this ribosomal RNA (433 nucleotides) under uncultured bacterium. Its description in RNAcentral is "partial 16S ribosomal RNA". It matches the Rfam family "Bacterial small subunit ribosomal RNA", at positions 29 to 507 of the family's 1533-position model. The record is from RNAcentral.